Rhodamnia argentea is the source of this 89-nucleotide small nucleolar RNA. RefSeq annotates it as small nucleolar RNA snoR27. Lineage: Eukaryota; Viridiplantae; Streptophyta; Magnoliopsida; Myrtales; Myrtaceae. The record is from RefSeq and is a predicted model, not a curated record. The transcript has a single exon.
GCAGGAUCGAUGAUGUCAUUAAUUUCUGCGUUAUCUGUCUGUAGCUUCCCCUCAUGGGAGUGAAGAUAAUCGAUACAUGCUGAGAUCCC